RNAcentral lists this ribosomal RNA (215 nucleotides) under Corallococcus sp. AB049A. Its description in RNAcentral is "partial 16S ribosomal RNA". It matches the Rfam family "Bacterial small subunit ribosomal RNA", at positions 1313 to 1533 of the family's 1533-position model. The record is from RNAcentral. Lineage: Bacteria; Pseudomonadati; Myxococcota; Myxococcia; Myxococcales; Myxococcaceae.
CGACUCCAUGAAGGCGGAAUCGCUAGUAAUCGCAGAUCAGCACGCUGCGGUGAAUACGUUCCCGGGCCUUGUACACACCGCCCGUCACACCAUGGGAGUCGAUUGCUCCAGAAGUCAUCUCACCAAGGGAUGCCCAAGGAGUGCUCGGUAACUGGGGUGAAGUCGUAACAAGGUAGCCGUAGGGGAACCUGCGGCUGGAUCACCUCCUUUCUAAG